Molecule: non-coding RNA, 69 nt
Organism: Eragrostis curvula (weeping love grass)
Lineage: Eukaryota; Viridiplantae; Streptophyta; Magnoliopsida; Poales; Poaceae
Source: the annotation of a GenBank genome assembly
GGCAUGUGGCCUGGUGGUGAAGGCGCUGGGUUGGCAGCCCACCGGUCAGGGGUUCGAUCCCUGAUCCCG